AGUCACUGACAUUAGAUACCCCCGUAGUCCCAGCCGUAAACUAUGCUCGCUAGGUGUCAGGCAUGGCGCGACCGUGUCUGGUGCCGCAGGGAAGCCGUGAAGCGAGCCACCUGGGAAGUACGGCCGCAAGGCUGAAACUUAAAGGAAUUGGCGGGGGAGCACAACAACGGGUGGAGCCUGCGGUUUAAUUGGAUUCAACACCGGAAAACUCACCAGUGAAGACUGUUACAUGAAAGCCAGGCUGAUGACCUUGCUAGAUUUUCAG
Molecule: ribosomal RNA, 265 nt
Filed under: uncultured archaeon
Lineage: Archaea
Description: partial 16S ribosomal RNA
Rfam family: Archaeal small subunit ribosomal RNA
Source: RNAcentral